CGUGGGUAACCUGCCUUAUAGUGGGGGAUAGCCUUUCGAAAGGAAGAUUAAUACCGCAUAAGAUUGUAGUAUCGCAUGAUAUAGCAAUUAAAGGAGCAAUUCGCUAUAAGAUGGACCCGCGUCGCAUUAGCUAGUUGGUGAGGUAAUGGCUCACCAAGGCGACGAUGCGUAGCCGACCUGAGAGGGUGAUCGGCCACAUUGGGACUGAGACACGGCCCAGACUCCUACGGGGAGGCAGCAUG
Molecule: ribosomal RNA, 242 nt
Filed under: uncultured bacterium
Lineage: Bacteria
Description: partial 16S ribosomal RNA
Rfam family: Bacterial small subunit ribosomal RNA
Source: RNAcentral